AUUGAACGCUGGCGGAAUGCUUUACACAUGCAAGUCGAACGGCAGCACGGGGCAACCUGGUGGCGAGUGGCGAACGGGUGAGUAAUACAUCGGAACGUGCCCAAUCGUGGGGGAUAACGUAGCGAAAGUUACGCUAAUACCGCAUACGAUCUACGGAUGAAAGCGGGGGAUCGCAAGACCUCGCGCGAGUGGAGCGGCCGAUGUCAGAUUAGGUAGUUGGUGGGGUAAAGGCUCACCAAGCCAACGAUCUGUAGCUGGUCUGAGAGGACGACCAGCCACACUGGAACUGAGACACGGUCCAGACUCCUACGGGAGGCAGCAGUGGGGAAUUUUGGACAAUGGGCGCAAGCCUGAUCCAGCCAUUCCGCGUGCAGGAUGAAGGCCUUCGGGUUGUAAACUGCUUUUGUACGGAACGAAACGGCGAGCUCUAAUACAGUUUGCUAAUGACGGUACCGUAAGAAUAAGCACCGGCUAACUACGUG
Molecule: ribosomal RNA, 482 nt
Filed under: uncultured bacterium
Lineage: Bacteria
Description: bacterial SSU rRNA
Rfam family: Bacterial small subunit ribosomal RNA
Source: RNAcentral